RNAcentral lists this ribosomal RNA (568 nucleotides) under Salmonella enterica subsp. enterica serovar Virchow. RNAcentral describes it as "partial 23S ribosomal RNA". It matches the Rfam family "Bacterial large subunit ribosomal RNA", at positions 711 to 1275 of the family's 2925-position model. Lineage: Bacteria; Pseudomonadati; Pseudomonadota; Gammaproteobacteria; Enterobacterales; Enterobacteriaceae. The record is from RNAcentral.
AGACCCGAAACCCGGUGAUCUAGCCAUGGGCAGGUUGAAGGUUGGGUAACACUAACUGGAGGACCGAACCGACUAAUGUUGAAAAAUUAGCGGAUGACCUGUGGCUGGGGGUGAAAGGCCAAUCAAACCGGGAGAUAGCUGGUUCUCCCCGAAAGCUAUUUAGGUAGCGCCUCGUGAAUUCAUCUCCGGGGGUAGAGCACUGUUUCGGCUAGGGGGCCAUCCCGGCUUACCAACCCGAUGCAAACUGCGAAUACCGGAGAAUGUUAUCACGGGAGACACACGGCGGGUGCUAACGUCCGUCGUGAAGAGGGAAACAACCCAGACCGCCAGCUAAGGUCCCAAAGUCAUGGUUAAGUGGGAAACGAUGUGGGAAGGCCCAGACAGCCAGGAUGUUGGCUUAGAAGCAGCCAUCAUUUAAAGAAAGCGUAAUAGCUCACUGGUCGAGUCGGCCUGCGCGGAAGAUGUAACGGGGCUAAACCAUGCACCGAAGCUGCGGCAGCGACACUCAGGUGUUGUUGGGUAGGGGAGCGUUCUGUAAGCCUGUGAAGGUGGCCUGUGAGGGUUGCUG